CAUCACACUUUGUAUUGAUGUCAAUGUUGCAAUAUGAAGAGAAAAUUCUUGAGUUUUCUUACAUUUUGUCAGCUCAGUGCUUCUGCACGAAAAUGUCCUGUCACUGAGUGUCAGAUAUUACAGAAACGUAGAGCUGACACAGAGAGAUUAUGUUGGGAUGAAGUGAAGAAAGAAUUUAGUUUGCUGUUGCUAUUAUGACCACAACGAACGUCCAGUUUAAAGCAGGUCUUGGACUUCCGUACAGAAAACUGAACAGACACAUACAGCAUGUAAACUACAGCAGGUCGUCCAGGCUUUUCAGUGAGCACAUACUUCCGAAGCUAUUCAUUGCUAGAGCAGUAUAACUUAUAUGUACAAUGUACAAGAAAACAAGCCGCCUAUGAAUGAAAUUUCAACAGUCAAAGCUACUAACUGUUUAGCAUGAUGCACAUGUUAAUUUUUUUCUGUUCAUGUCCUGAUCUGCAUAAAUCAUGAUAGAAGUUGUGGAGAAAUUUCAUACUUGAAAAAACAUGUACAAAACGUUUCAAAGGGAUAGAAAUUAUAGUACAUGUUUAAUAGGAUAGGACAAGACUGAAUUUCCAGGCUUCAAAGUGCAAAUGUUCAUGUGUGGAUAUGGUCGAUAUAUUGAACUAAGCAGUUACGUAAGAUACUGAAUAAAAUGUCAGCAGAUAUUCAGAAAAUGGAGUUGGAAAGGCUACAUCGCAGUAAGAGAAAAGUAUUAAGAUUAACACUGGAAGUCCAAAACUACUUAUACAUAUAUCUGUGAAGCUGGUGUAGAACUGGAAAAAUUCAGUAUUUUAUAUAAUCAUGGUAUUUAGUCAUAAUCAAAAUAAUGAAGCUCCAAAUUACAUAAACUACAAUAGUUGCCUAAGUUGGAUAAUUUGUUAAAAAGGAAACCGAUUAACAACUUAACAAACUAAAAGAAUCAAAGCAUACUUUCUGUACGAAAAAUCAGAGACCUCAACCACCAAACAGUUAGUUUCUGAAAAUGAAAGUGAAUAAGUGACGAUAGAGAGAACCUACUCAAAAUAAGAAUUAUGCUAUUCAUGGUAGAUAUUAGAUGUGUUGAUCUUGUUUUUGUGAAUAAACAAUGAGAAUGAUAAGCCAGAAUGGAAGUGACAAUUCAUAGAAUAGUACAAAGACAAUGAUAGGGCUACUUUUGCUGUAAACUGAACAUGCUGAAAGUUGAUCAGUUUUUGCCAAGUCAGCUGGUAUCAAUGAUUUUAUGAACUAUAAAUUCUAUAAUCAUGAUAAGAUUAAUCAUUUGAAUGUCAUUAUGGGCUAUUAAAAAGAAAUGUAAAGGA
Molecule: long non-coding RNA, 1304 nt
Organism: Mytilus californianus (California mussel)
Lineage: Eukaryota; Metazoa; Mollusca; Bivalvia; Mytilida; Mytilidae
Exons: 2
Source: RefSeq, a predicted model, not a curated record